Molecule: transfer RNA, 73 nt
Filed under: Rhodococcus erythropolis
Lineage: Bacteria; Bacillati; Actinomycetota; Actinomycetes; Mycobacteriales; Nocardiaceae
Description: tRNA-Gly
Rfam family: tRNA
About the family: Transfer RNA (tRNA) molecules are approximately 80 nucleotides in length. Their secondary structure includes four short double-helical elements and three loops (D, anti-codon, and T loops).
Source: RNAcentral
GCGGACGUGGCGCAGCUGGUAGCGCAGAACCUUGCCAAGGUUGGGGUCGCGGGUUCGAAUCCCGUCGUCCGCU